UGGGGAAUAUUGCACAAUGGGGGAAACCCUGAUGCAGCGACGCCGCGUGAAGGAAGAAGUAUCUCGGUAUGUAAACUUCUAUCAGCAGGGAAGAUAGUGACGGUACCUGGCUAAGAAGCCCCGGCUAACUACGUGCCAGCAGCCGCGGUAAUACGUAGGGGGCAAGCGUUAUCCGGAUUUACUGGGUGUAAAGGGAGCGUAGACGGCUGUGCAAGUCUGAUGUGAAAGGCAGGGGCUCAACUCCUGGACUGCAUUGGAAACUGUGUAGCUUGAGUGCCGGAGAGGUAAGCGGAAUUCCUAGUGUAGCGGUGAAAUGCGUAGAUAUUAGGAGGAACACCAGUGGCGAAGGCGGCCUGCUGGACUGUAACUGACGUUGAGGCUCGAAAGCGUGGGGAGCAAACAGGAUUAGAUACC
This 414-nucleotide ribosomal RNA is filed under the name uncultured bacterium. RNAcentral's name for it is "bacterial SSU rRNA". It matches the Rfam family "Bacterial small subunit ribosomal RNA", at positions 355 to 786 of the family's 1533-position model. The record is from RNAcentral.